AUUGAACGCUGGCGGCAGGCCUAACACAUGCAAGUCGAACGAGUGGCGGACGGGUGAGUAAUGUCUGGGAAACUGCCUGAUGGAGGGGGAUAACUACUGGAAACGGUAGCUAAUACCGCAUACCAUCGGAUGUGCCCAGAUGGGAUUAGCUAGUAGGUUGGGUAACGGCUCACAUAGGCGACGCUCCCUAGCUGGUCUGAGAGGAUGACCAGCCAACCAGGAUCUGAGACACGGUCCAGACUCUUACGUGAGGCAGCAGUGGGGAAUAUUGCACAAUGGGCGAAAGCCUGAUCCAGCCAUGCCGCGUGUGUGAAGAAGGUCCUCGGAUUGUAAAGCACUUUAAGUUGGGAGGCGUUACCAACAGAAUAAGCACCGGCUAACUUCGUGCCAGCAGCCGCGGUAAUUC
RNAcentral lists this ribosomal RNA (406 nucleotides) under uncultured bacterium. Its description in RNAcentral is "partial 16S ribosomal RNA". It matches the Rfam family "Bacterial small subunit ribosomal RNA", at positions 30 to 526 of the family's 1533-position model. The record is from RNAcentral.